GUAUGUAUACAUAUAUAUAUAUAUAUAAAUGACUGUAUAUAUAAUUCUAUAUUAUUGCUAGAAAGAUAAAGACACAAACUCCAUGUCCCAUCCCUGGAAGUGUUCAAGGUGAUGUUGGAUGGAGCUUGGAGCAAAAAUUAAAUAUUUGUAUUAAAAAACCAGAUGAAUAUAAAAAUUCCUCACUCAAAGACUUACAAGACAGCUGAAAAUUGCCACUGUGUUUGUUGUAAUUCUCUUAUCUGCAUUAAGGACAAGCUGACCCACACUUGGUGUUCUGCGAAUGUGCUUGGCUGAUUAGUCUGACGUAAGAGAUUUACACAAAUAUUUUUAUUAUAUAUCUAUUAUAUUUCUAAUAUUUAAUUGUAUAAAUGCCUGUAGCUAUAUAAAUAUUUUAUAAAAUUUUAUGCUUAUAUAUUUAUUUUUAUAUAUACACACGUAGCACCACCUUCCAGGGGAAGGCCCAAGAACGAACUUCAAAAGUCACUUUUUUAAAUGAAGAAAUGAAGUUAUUGUGGUAUUCACACAUCUCCAAACUUCUCCAGACCCUCUAAUCCAUUUGGCACCAGUUAAAUCUUUUUCAGAGGGGCCAGAGCUGCUCCCUGACAGGGCUGGGGACUCUUUUCCCUCUGGAUUCAUCAGCAGCUCCAAGUCCUGCUAGGAAUUCCACCUGAGGAGUGGGAAUGGAAAUCUGCAGUUCCACAGAAUUCAAAAAAAAAUUAUAAAUUCCUGUCACUGCAGCCUGGCAUCUUCCUGGAAGGGAACGCGACAGCCGAUUUUGACUGGAAGAGGUGGCGAGACAGGAAAAAAAAGGAUUUUCCCCGCAAUCUUUGGAGUCAAUCGUUCACUGUGAAAUCCACUGAAGUCCGAGUGGUUUUCCACACUCACCUCCCGAAUUCCAGGAGCAGAGGAAGGAGCAGGGAAUAAUGAAAUCACAGCUCUUUAAUGAGCCUCAGCUUUCAACAGCUCCGGGAUCCUCCAGAGCAAGGGCUCAGUUCCAGCAAAAUGACAAAAAUCUCUGUUCCUGGUCUGGAGGGAGAGCACAGCAAGGUCUGUAACAAAUUAUUCCUGUUGUGAUUGUAUCGAGCACUCCUGAAAUUUGUGUCCUACAAAGAGAAUUAACAACGUGGCUGUGGGAGCUGUUAGUCCUCAGCUCUGUCUUUGUAAGGCUCAGGUGAAUAUUUAAAGAUUAUUUAAUAUUAAUAUUUAUCUUUUGGUGGGGUUAAACCCUGCGCCAAUGCUCACCAGCAGGCACCGGGUAGCACCGAAAGGGAUUUUUGUUGGCUUUUGUUAACAAUCAGGGACUGGUUAUCACUGAAAGGGUUUGUUUUUUGCUGGCCUUGAAAUCCUCACCUUGUGAGAAUUGAAAGCAGGGAACAGGUAAAUAAAGGAAAAUGGGAUUGUGGUGUUAAUGGAUAAGCUGUGCAGGGAACGGGACAGGCAGCUCUGCUGUGCUUCCUUCAGAUCAGCAGGACACAAAUCCUGGGUCAGACUGGAAACCUGAGCAAAACCCAACAUGUACCCAGGGGAGCUGUGUGAGAACCCAAAUCCUGAAACACCCAGAGGAGCUGUGUGA
This is a long non-coding RNA of Parus major (Great Tit), 1573 nucleotides long. RefSeq lists it as uncharacterized. The transcript is spliced from 5 exons. Lineage: Eukaryota; Metazoa; Chordata; Aves; Passeriformes; Paridae. The record is from RefSeq and is a predicted model, not a curated record.